GACGAACCGUGCGAACGUUGUUCGGAAUCACUGGGCUUAAAGGGCGCGUAGGCGGGUUUGCAAGUCUGUGGUGAAAGCCUCCAGCUUAACUGGAGAAGUGCCAUGGAUACUGCGGGCCUCGAGGAGGGUAGGGGCAUCUGGAACAGUAGGUGGAGCGGUGAAAUGCGUUGAUAUCUACUGGAACUCCGGUGGCGAAGGCGAGGUGCUGGACCCUUUCUGACGCUGAGGCGCGAAAGCCAGGGGAGCAAACGGG
Molecule: ribosomal RNA, 253 nt
Filed under: uncultured bacterium
Lineage: Bacteria
Description: partial 16S ribosomal RNA
Rfam family: Bacterial small subunit ribosomal RNA
Source: RNAcentral